This 1407-nucleotide long non-coding RNA is filed under the name Mastacembelus armatus (zig-zag eel). RNAcentral describes it as "lncRNA (ENSMAMG00000026789.1)". Lineage: Eukaryota; Metazoa; Chordata; Actinopteri; Synbranchiformes; Mastacembelidae. The record is from RNAcentral.
AAGACAAGGCAAGGCAAAUUUAUAAUUUCAUACACUACGCAAUUCAAAGUGCCAAAGUAUUAUGGUGAAGACACCGAAAAAUGUGAUGUCCACAUAUGUGGACGCCAGGUCCUAGGAAGUUAAGAAAAAAUAAAAAUAAAUGGAAACAAGACUCUAAUUCAUUUAAAUACUCAGAACUUCAGUAACUUGACAGGUUCUUUGAAGGUCUACUAAAGCAUCUGCUGAAACUUUUCCUGAAUUCAUUCUAGAGAUCUUUCCACCUGAAGCUUAAACCCACACGUGGGAAAGCAGCGGUUAAGCUUCCGGUUCUAAUUAUCCAGGUAGCUAACAGGUGAGUUCAGGAGUCCGGGAGUAUUUAAUAGUGUCAGUGGAUCCACGGCUUCCAGCAGUUUGUAGCUGAGUUUGGGUCGCUCCCGGCGGGCAGAGAGACGCGGAGCGGACCAUGUCGGCGGCUCCAGGACGGAUGAAAGUGAUGACGAUGAUGAUCCGAGCGUGGGUCGUUUUGAUGACCCUGACCCGGGUUAACACGGCAGGGGAAUCGCCCCGGGAAGCGGACGGAGGUUUGGCCGGGUGGGACCCGUUGUUCUCGGUCUCUGAGCCGCCGGUGGAGACCCGGAGAGGAUUUUUUCCUGUGUCGGUCUGGAAGUUUUUGGAAGUUUCAGAGCAUGUGCAGUCCUCAGACCUGGGAAGGCCUCAGUACCAGUGUAGCAACAUGUCCCUGUUGGUCCGCUUCUCCCUCAUCCGACACUCACACCUGCGACUGGAAGGUGAGUUUGAUUUGUGCACCUGCUGCAGCUGUUUCCACAUUUCAUGAGGAGAGUCCUGCUUUUCUAAAUCUGUAGUGUCCAAACUGAGUAACUGAUUCAUUGAAAUGCAGUACUAGACCCCUCCCCCCCUGCACAGAAUGUUGGAAAACAGUUGCACUUGCCUCUGGACAGUCCCAUGUUUUUUCUCUCUAGGCUAAUUUCACAUGGAUGAGGAUUUUUAUAUAGCUUAAUGUGUGAAUGCAGCCUCACUGAGAAAGCUUAGGUGCUUAGGCGAAAACGUUAAAUUAUGAGUCCACAGAACAGACUGAUCCUCUCUGUUCCAGCAGAGCAGGUAGAGCUCACACAAUCCAGAUACCUGUGUAGAGUGAAGCUGCCACCUGCUGACUGGUAAAAUCUUUAUACUUUGGUUUGUGUGAAAUAAGUGAGGUUGACUGUUUAUUCCAAACCGUCUCUACAGACAGGAGGUUGUUGCUGCAGGACAGGUGUCAAGGUUCUGUUCAGGCCUUUGGGCCAUGGCUGCUGCUGAAUCUGUCUGCCAGUUGCCACAUGGAAUCAUGGGUAAGAAUUGAAGCUUCUUGUGCAGUUUUGACUCAGCAGCCCGAAUGACAAAUAUAUUUCUAUUGAAACUAAACUGAACUAA